AGAGUUUGAUCCUGGCUCAGAUUGAACGCUGGCGGCAUGCCUAACACAUGCAAGUCGCACGCGAAAGGGGGCAACCCCGAGUAGAGUGGCGGACGGGUGCGUAAUACGCAGGAAUCUACCCACGAGUGGGGGACAACCCGGGGAAACCCGGGCUAAUACCGCAUGAGACCUACGGGUGAAAGCGGGGGAUCGCAAGACCUCGCGCUGGUGGAUGAGCCUGCGUCCGAUUAGCUAGUUGGUAGGGUAAAAGCCUACCAAGGCAACGAUCGGUAGCUGGUCUGAGAGGACGACCAGCCACACUGGGACUGAGACACGGCCCAGACUCCUACGGGAGGCAGCAGUGGGGAAUAUUGGACAAUGGGGGCAACCCUGAUCCAGCAAUGCCGCGUGUGUGAAGAAGGCCUUCGGGUUGUAAAGCACUUUCGAUGGGGACAAACGUGUCGGGCUUAAUACGUCCGGCCUUGAUGGUACCCAGAGAAGAAGCACCGGCUAACUCUGUGCCAGCAGCCGCGGUAAUACAGAGGGUGCAAGCGUUAAUCGGAAUUACUGGGCGUAAAGCGUGCGUAGGUGGUUGGAUAAGUCAGGUGUGAAAUCCCCGAGCUCAACUUGGGAAUUGCGCUUGAUACUGUCCGGCUAGAGUGUGGUAGAGGGUAGUGGAAUUCCGCAUGUAGCGGUGAAAUGCGUAGAUAUGCGGAGGAACAUCAGUGGCGAAGGCGGCUACCUGGACCAACACUGACACUGAGGCACGAAAGCGUGGGUAGCAAACAGGAUUAGAUACCCUGGUAGUCC
This 789-nucleotide ribosomal RNA is filed under the name uncultured bacterium. RNAcentral describes it as "bacterial SSU rRNA". It matches the Rfam family "Bacterial small subunit ribosomal RNA", at positions 8 to 796 of the family's 1533-position model. The record is from RNAcentral.